GGUUAAGCGACUAAGCGUACACGGUGGAUGCCCUGGCAGUCAGAGGCGAUGAAGGACGUGCUAAUCUGCGAAAAGCGUCGGUAAGGUGAUAUGAACCGUUAUAGCCGGCGAUGUCCGAAUGGGGAAACCCAGUGCAAUUCGUUGCACUAUCGUUAACUGAAUACAUAGGUUAACGAGGCGAACCGGGGGAACUGAAACAUCUAAGUACCCCGAGGAAAAGAAAUCAACCGAGAUUCCCCCAGUAGCGGCGAGCGAACGGGGAGCAGCCCAGAGUCUGAAUCAGCUUGUGUGUUAGUGGAACGGUCUGGAAAGUCCGACGGUACAGGGUGAUAGUCCCGUACACCAAAAUGCACAGGCUGUGAACUCGAAGAGUAGGGCGGGACACGUGGUAUCCUGUCUGAAUAUGGGGGGACCAUCCUCCAAGGCUAAAUACUCCUGACUGACCGAUAGUGAACCAGUACCGUGAGGGAAAGGCGAAAAGAACCCCGGCGAGGGGAGUGAAAAAGAACCUGAAACCGUGUACGUACAAGCAGUGGGAGCACCUUCGGGUGUGACUGCGUACCUUUUGUAUAAUGGGUCAGCGACUUAUAUUCUGUAGCAAGGUUAACCGUAUAGGGGAGCCGCAGGGAAACCGAGUCUUAACUGGGCGUUAAGUUGCAGGGUAUAGACCCGAAACCCGGUGAUCUAGCCAUGGGCAGGUUGAAGGUUGGGUAACACUAACUGGAGGACCGAACCGACUAAUGUUGAAAAAUUAGCGGAUGACUUGUGGCUGGGGGUGAAAGGCCAAUCAAACCGGGAGAUAGCUGGUUCUCCCCGAAAGCUAUUUAGGUAGCGCCUCGUGAAUUCAUCUUCGGGGGUAGAGCACUGUUUCGGCUAGGGGGUCAUCCCGACUUACCAACCCGAUGCAAACUACGAAUACCGAAGAAUGUUAUCACGGGAGACACACGGCGGGUGCUAACGUCCGUCGUGAAGAGGGAAACAACCCAGACCGCCAGCUAAGGUCCCAAAGUCAUGGUUAAGUGGGAAACGAUGUGGGAAGGCACAGACAGCCAGGAUGUUGGCUUAGAAGCAGCCAUCAUUUAAAGAAAGCGUAAUAGCUCACUGGUCGAGUCGGCCUGCGCGGAAGAUGUAACGGGGCUAAACCAUGCACCGAAGCUGCGGCAGCGACACUAUGUGUUGUUGGGUAGGGGAGCGUUCUGUAAGCCUGCGAAGGUGACCUGUGAGGGUUGCUGGAGGUAUCAGAAGUGCGAAUGCUGACAUAAGUAACGAUAAAGCGGGUGAAAAGCCCGCUCGCCGGAAGACCAAGGGUUCCUGUCCAACGUUAAUCGGGGCAGGGUGAGUCGACCCCUAAGGCGAGGCCGAAAGGCGUAGUCGAUGGGAAACAGGUUAAUAUUCCUGUACUUGGUGUUACUGCGAAGGGGGGACGGAGAAGGCUAUGUUAGCCGGGCGACGGUUGUCCCGGUUUAAGCAUGUAGGCUGGUUAUCCAGGCAAAUCCGGAUAAUCAAGGCUGAGGUGUGAUGACGAGGCACUACGGUGCUGAAGUAACAAAUGCCCUGCUUCCAGGAAAAGCCUCUAAGCAUCAGGUAACAUCAAAUCGUACCCCAAACCGACACAGGUGGUCAGGUAGAGAAUACCAAGGCGCUUGAGAGAACUCGGGUGAAGGAACUAGGCAAAAUGGUGCCGUAACUUCGGGAGAAGGCACGCUGGUGUGUAGGUGAAGUCCCUGCGGAUGGAGCUGAGACCAGUCGAAGAUACCAGCUGGCUGCAACUGUUUAUUAAAAACACAGCACUGUGCAAACACGAAAGUGGACGUAUACGGUGUGACGCCUGCCCGGUGCCGGAAGGUUAAUUGAUGGGGUUAUCCGUAAGGAGAAGCUCUUGAUCGAAGCCCCGGUAAACGGCGGCCGUAACUAUAACGGUCCUAAGGUAGCGAAAUUCCUUGUCGGGUAAGUUCCGACCUGCACGAAUGGCGUAAUGAUGGCCAGGCUGUCUCCACCCGAGACUCAGUGAAAUUGAACUCGCUGUGAAGAUGCAGUGUACCCGCGGCAAGACGGAAAGACCCCGUGAACCUUUACUAUAGCUUGACACUGAACAUUGAGCCUUGAUGUGUAGGAUAGGUGGGAGGCUUUGAAGCGUGGACGCCAGUCUGCGUGGAGCCAACCUUGAAAUACCACCCUUUAAUGUUUGAUGUUCUAACGUUGGCCCCUUACCGGGGUUGCGGACAGUGUCUGGUGGGUAGUUUGACUGGGGCGGUCUCCUCCCAAAGCGUAACGGAGGAGCACGAAGGUUAGCUAAUCCUGGUCGGACAUCAGGAGGUUAGUGCAAUGGCAUAAGCUAGCUUGACUGCGAGCGUGACGGCGCGAGCAGGUGCGAAAGCAGGUCAUAGUGAUCCGGUGGUUCUGAAUGGAAGGGCCAUCGCUCAACGGAUAAAAGGUACUCCGGGGAUAACAGGCUGAUACCGCCCAAGAGUUCAUAUCGACGGCGGUGUUUGGCACCUCGAUGUCGGCUCAUCACAUCCUGGGGCUGAAGUAGGUCCCAAGGGUAUGGCUGUUCGCCAUUUAAAGUGGUACGCGAGCUGGGUUUAGAACGUCGUGAGACAGUUCGGUCCCUAUCUGCCGUGGGCGCUGGAGAAUUGAGGGGGGCUGCUCCUAGUACGAGAGGACCGGAGUGGACGCAUCACUGGUGUUCGGGUUGUCAUGCCAAUGGCACUGCCCGGUAGCUAAAUGCGGAAGAGAUAAGUGCUGAAAGCAUCUAAGCACGAAACUUGCCCCGAGAUGAGUUCUCCCUGAGACUUUAAGUCUCCUGAAGGAACGUUAAAGACGAUGACGUUGAUAGGCCGGGUGUGUAAGCGCAGCGAUGCGUUGAGCUAACCGGUACUAAUGAACCGUGAGGCUUAACCUU
RNAcentral lists this ribosomal RNA (2902 nucleotides) under Klebsiella pneumoniae. RNAcentral's name for it is "23S ribosomal RNA". It matches the Rfam family "Bacterial large subunit ribosomal RNA". The record is from RNAcentral. RNAcentral also lists the same sequence under 2 other names. Lineage: Bacteria; Pseudomonadati; Pseudomonadota; Gammaproteobacteria; Enterobacterales; Enterobacteriaceae.